UUGCGCAUGCGUACGAGGCUGCACUACUGAUCUAAGACCGGCAGAAAAGGACGCUGUGUUCGGAACCGGUGACUAACGUCAUAUUCAUACUAAGUGUGACGUCACAAUAAGUAUAUUACAACUGCAUGGCAUGUGAGUUUUGUGCACGGGAGAAACAUCCGGGCGUACAUUAGAUUAGCAAGAAUUUCUGCGCUUGCGCCGUGAGCAUACUGGACAUACUGUCCCAUGAUGCACUGCGGCUGUUCAAUGGCAGGCGGCUAGGCGGAAGCUCAUGGCACCAGUCAACAACAGGUCGUGUACAAAGGAUGUUCAUCAAGGAGCUGGAGGGAAGACAGGAGGCUGGAUGAGCGAAGAAGAAGACUGCAGCCCGACUGCAGAGCCUGUGUCUGAUUCACUCAGCUGACCCGUGGCUGCGGAGGAAUACAGUAGUUCAGCGGUUGAGAAAAUGUAGUACCAAAGGAAAG
Long non-coding RNA from Seriola aureovittata, 464 nucleotides. RefSeq lists it as uncharacterized. The record is from RefSeq and is a predicted model, not a curated record. The transcript has 3 exons. NCBI's taxonomy places the organism in Eukaryota, Metazoa, Chordata, Actinopteri, Carangiformes, Carangidae.